RNAcentral lists this long non-coding RNA (550 nucleotides) under Rattus norvegicus (Norway rat). Its description in RNAcentral is "long non-coding RNA NONRATT032679". The record is from RNAcentral. Lineage: Eukaryota; Metazoa; Chordata; Mammalia; Rodentia; Muridae.
UUUUUUUCCUAACAGAAUUUUGGAUUUCUUUUUCCAAAAGACUAUGGACUAAAGCAUCGUCCCUUGGCAUUAUGCAGCGACUACACAAUCCCUGACUGAAGGUCCCAGCUGGAGAGCCAGUGGUGUCGUCCUGGCUGGAGUCCCAUUAUUUUCAUUGGCCUUAGAUGAAUGACCAGGAACGAACGCUGGUCCAGGACCCCAGGAUCCCCUGCCAAGACGCAAGUUCUUGAACGAUGGCAGUCUCUGUUCUGGAGAGCCUUUGGAUUUGAAGACGUCCUUUCUGAGGCUACCUCAUCUCCAUUGCUCUACCCCCAGCUAUCUAGUAGGAUGCCACCCAGUACCUCUCUAGUCUCUCUGCUCUGUAGUUGAUAUUCUACCGCUCAGAGUCCUACUAGCAGGGACUUGGGUUCCAAACUUUUUAUCUGGUGCACUCUGUACACACUCCUGCUCCUGUCCAAGCUGCUGAUCGGACGCUCCUACGCUAUUGCUGAGGUAUGUACGAAUCAUCUGUCUGUAAAUUUGAAUCUAAAUUCUAGAGUCUAACUCAUAA